UACGUAGGGGGCAAGCGUUGUCCGGAAUCAUUGGGCGUAAAGAGCGUGUAGGCGGUUCGGUAAGUCGGCUGUGAAAGUCCAGGGCUCAACCCUCGAAUGCCGGUGGAUACUGUCGGGCUAGAGUGCGGAAGAGGCGAGUGGAAUUCCUGGUGUAGCGGUGAAAUGCGCAGAUAUCAGGAGGAACACCUAUUGCGAAGGCAGCUCGCUGGGACGUUACUGACGCUGAGACGCGAAAGCGUGGGGAGCAAACAGG
RNAcentral lists this ribosomal RNA (253 nucleotides) under uncultured bacterium. RNAcentral's name for it is "partial 16S ribosomal RNA". It matches the Rfam family "Bacterial small subunit ribosomal RNA", at positions 524 to 776 of the family's 1533-position model. The record is from RNAcentral.